This is a long non-coding RNA of Suricata suricatta (meerkat), 303 nucleotides long. RefSeq lists it as uncharacterized. Lineage: Eukaryota; Metazoa; Chordata; Mammalia; Carnivora; Herpestidae. The record is from RefSeq and is a predicted model, not a curated record. The transcript has 2 exons.
UGCAAUAGUUGCUUUAUAAAUGUGGUCUAGAACCAAACCUGAAAUAUCUCUGGGUAUGCCAGUACUGGCCUUCUGACAAUAUGUCAGGAGGAGGAACAUCUGCUUCUAGACCUCGAUUGACUGCAGGUUUUCACAAAUUAAAACCAUCCAUCUUACUGGAAGAAAGACACAGUUAUCAAGAACAAAGGCAAUUUAACCAUAGAGAUUACAAAGUCCAUGGUGGAAAACAAAGUUUUCAUCAGCUCAACUCUUUAUUCUGAGUUUCUUUUAAUUUUCCAUUUAUAACUGUGAUUCUGAAUUUAA